Molecule: ribosomal RNA, 476 nt
Filed under: Triticum aestivum (bread wheat)
Lineage: Eukaryota; Viridiplantae; Streptophyta; Magnoliopsida; Poales; Poaceae
Description: partial small subunit ribosomal RNA
Source: RNAcentral
UAACUGCCGCCUUCGGACACGCAGAGCACCGGCCAAGAAAUCUCUCCCGCACGCGGUCCCGUCUCGCCCUGCUGCACCGAUCCUCCUUGCCGUGCCAUGGCACGGCCAGCGUCCCUCGACUGUGAUUCUGACGACUAUGACUCCGACUCCGGCUAUGCUUCCGGUGACGAAACUCGGCCUAAUAAGCGUCUUGUGUAUGAUUCUGAUGGAGGACUCUACAUUGAUGAUGAUGAUGAUGACGACGACAACGAUGACGACAUCGACGACGAGGAGGAUGAAUAGAAAGCCACGUAACAGCUGGGAGGCUGGCAUGGCAUGAAGAGGCCAGCAGAAGCAGUUACGGAGUGCAAGUCUAGCUAGUGGCAGAAAUGUUGUUUUUGUAAAUAUGUUUGCUUGUGUGAUGAGACCAAAUGUAAAUGUAUUGAUGUGAUUGAACUAACUGUUAGCGUUUUACUACAUAAGAAGGCACUGUCAGC